RNAcentral lists this ribosomal RNA (492 nucleotides) under uncultured bacterium. RNAcentral describes it as "partial 16S ribosomal RNA". It matches the Rfam family "Bacterial small subunit ribosomal RNA", at positions 29 to 507 of the family's 1533-position model. The record is from RNAcentral.
AGUGAACGCUGGCGGUAGGCCUAACACAUGCAAGUCGAACGGCAGCACAGUAAGAGCUUGCUCUUACGGGUGGCGAGUGGCGGACGGGUGAGGAAUACAUCGGAAUCUACUUUUUCGUGGGGGAUAACGUAGGGAAACUUACGCUAAUACCGCAUACGACCUACGGGUGAAAGCAGGGGAUCUUCGGACCUUGCGCGAUUGAAUGAGCCGAUGUCGGAUUAGCUAGUUGGCGGGGUAAAGGCCCACCAAGGCGACGAUCCGUAGCUGGUCUGAGAGGAUGAUCAGCCACACUGGAACUGAGACGCGGUCCAGACUCCUACGGGAGGCAGCAGUGGGGAAUAUUGGACAAUGGGCGCAAGCCUGAUCCAGCCAUACCGCGUGGGUGAAGAAGGCCUUCGGGUUGUAAAGCCCUGUUGUUGGGAAAGAAGAGCAGCAGGUUAAUACCCCGCUGUUCUGACGGUACCCAAAGAAUAAGCACCGGCUAACUUCGUG